AGGGUAGCCUAGUGGUUAGUGUUGGACUAGUAACCAGCAGGUAGCCUAGUGGUUAGUGUUGGACUAGUAACCAGCAGGUAGCCUAGUGGUUAGAGUGUUGGACUAGUAACCAGCAGGUAGCCUAGUGGUUAGUGUUGGACUAGUAACCAGCAGGUAGCCUAGUGGUUAGAGUGUUGGACUAGUAACCAGCAGUUAGCCUAGUGGUUAGAGUGUUGGACUAGUAACCAGCAGGUAGCCUAGUGGUUAGAGUGUUGGACUAGUAACCAGCAGGUAGCCUAGUGGUUAGUGUUGGACUAGUAACCAGCAGGUAGCCUAGUGGUUAGUGUUGGACUAGUAACCAGCAGGUAGCCUAGUGGUUAGUGUUGGACUAGUAACCAGCAGGUAGCCUAGUGGUUAGUGUUGGACUAGUAACCAGCAGGUAGCCUAGUGGUUAGAGCGUUGGACUAGUAACCAGCAGGUAGCCUAGUGGUUAGUGUUGGACUAGUAACCAGCAGGUAGCCUAGUGGUUAGAGCGUUGGACUAGUAACCAGCAGGUAGCCUAGUGGUUAGAGCGUUGGACUAGUAACCAGCAGGUAGCCUAGUGGUUAGAGCGUUGGACUAGUAACCAGCAGGUAGCCUAGUGGUUAGAGUGUUGGACUAGUAACCAGCAGUUAGCCUAGUGGUUAGUGUUGGACUAGUAACCAGCAGGUAGCCUAGUGGUUAGUGUUGGACUAGUAACCAGCAGGUAGCCUGGUGGUUAGUGUUGGACUAGUAACCAACAGGUAGCCUAGUGGUUAGAGCGUUGGACUAGUAACCAGCAGGUAGCCUAGUGGUUAGAGCGUUGGACUAGUAACCAGCAGGUAGCCUAGUGGUUAGUGUUGGACUAGUAACCAGCAGGUAGCCUAGUGGUUAGAGUGUUGGACUAGUAACCAGCAGGUAGCCUAGUGGUUAGAGUGUUGGACUAGUAACCAGCAGGUAGCCUAGUGGUUAGUGUUGGACUAGUAACCAGCAGGUAGCCUAGUGGUUAGUGUUGGACUAGUAACCAGCAGGUAGCCUAGUGGUUAGUGUUGGACUAGUAACCAGCAGGUAGCCUAGUGGUUAGUGUUGGACUAGUAACCAGCAGGUAGCCUAGUGGUUAGUGUUGGACUAGUAACCAGCAGGUAGCCUAGUGGUUAGUGUUGGACUAGUAACCAGCAGGUAGCCUAGUGGUUAGAGCGUUGGACUAGUAACCAGCAGGUAGCCUAGUGGUUAGAGUGUUGGACUAGUAACCAGCAGGUAGCCUAGUGGUUAGAGCGUUGGACUAGUAACCAGCAGGUAGUCUAGUGGUUAGAGUGUUGGACUAGUAACCAGCAGGUAGCCUAGUGGUUAGUGUUGGACUAGUAACCAGCAGGUAGCCUAGUGGUUAGAGUGUUGGACUAGUAACCAGCAGGUAGCCUAGUGGUUAGAGCGUUGGACUAGUAACCAGCAGUUAGCCUAGUGGUUAGAGCGUUGGACUAGUAACCAGCAGUUAGCCUAGUGGUUAGAGCGUUGGACUAGUAACCAGCAGUUAGCCUAGUGGUUAGAGCGUUGGACUAGUAACCAGCAGUUAGCCUAGUGGUUAGAGCGUUGGACUAGUAACCAGCAGGUAGCCUAGUGGUUAGAGCGUUGGACUAGUAACCAGCAGGUAGCCUAGUGGUUAGAGCGUUGGACUAGUAACCGGCAGUUAGCCUAGUGGUUAGAGCGUUGGACUAGUAACCGGCAGUUAGCCUAGUGGUUAGAGCGUUGGACUAGUAACCAGCAGUUAGCCUAGUGGUUAGAGCGUUGGACUAGUAACCAGCAGGUAGCCUAGUGGUUAGAGCGUUGGACUAGUAACCAGCAGGUAGCCUAGUGGUUAGUGUUGGACUAGUAACCAGCAGGUAGCCUAGUGGUUAGUGUUGGACUAGUAACCAGCAGGUAGCCUAGUGGUUAGAGCGUUGGACUAGUAACCAGCAGGUAGCCUAGUGGUUAGUGUUGGACUAGUAACCAGCAGGUAGCCUAGUGGUUAGUGUUGGACUAGUAACCAGCAGGUAGCCUAGUGGUUAGUGUUGGACUAGUAACCAGCAGGUAGCCUAGUGGUUAGAGCGUUGGACUAGUAACCAGCAGGUAGCCUAGUGGUUAGAGUGUUGGACUAGUAACCAGCAGGUAGCCUAGUGGUUAGAGCGUUGGACUAGUAACCAGCAGGUAGUCUAGUGGUUAGAGUGUUGGACUAGUAACCAGCAGGUAGCCUAGUGGUUAGUGUUGGACUAGUAACCAGCAGGUAGCCUAGUGGUUAGAGUGUUGGACUAGUAACCAGCAGGUAGCCUAGUGGUUAGAGCGUUGGACUAGUAACCAGCAGUUAGCCUAGUGGUUAGAGCGUUGGACUAGUAACCAGCAGUUAGCCUAGUGGUUAGAGCGUUGGACUAGUAACCAGCAGUUAGCCUAGUGGUUAGAGCGUUGGACUAGUAACCAGCAGUUAGCCUAGUGGUUAGAGCGUUGGACUAGUAACCAGCAGGUAGCCUAGUGGUUAGAGCGUUGGACUAGUAACCAGCAGGUAGCCUAGUGGUUAGAGCGUUGGACUAGUAACCGGCAGUUAGCCUAGUGGUUAGAGCGUUGGACUAGUAACCGGCAGUUAGCCUAGUGGUUAGAGCGUUGGACUAGUAACCGGCAGUUAGCCUAGUGGUUAGAGCGUUGGACUAGUAACCGGCAGUUAGCCUAGUGGUUAGAGCGUUGGACUAGUAACCAGCAGUUAGCCUAGUGGUUAGAGCGUUGGACUAGUAACCAGCAGGUAGCCUAGUGGUUAGUGUUGGACUAGUAACCAGCAGGUAGCCUAGUGGUUAGUGUUGGACUAGUAACCAGCAGGUAGCCUAGUGGUUAGAGCGUUGGACUAGUAACCAGCAGGUAGCCUAGUGGUUAGUGUUGGACUAGUAACCAGCAGGUAGCCUAGUGGUUAGAGCGUUGGACUAGUAACCAGCAGGUAGCCUAGUGGUUAGAGCGUUGGACUAGUAACCAGCAGGUAGCCUAGUGGUUAGUGUUGGACUAGUAACCAGCAGGUAGCCUAGUGGUUAGAGCGUUGGACUAGUAACCAGCAGGUAGCCUAGUGGUUAGAGCGUUGGACUAGUAACCAGCAGGUAGCCUAGUGGUUAGUGUUGGACUAGUAACCAGCAGGUAGCCUAGUGGUUAGUGUUGGACUAGUAACCAGCAGGUAGCCUAGUGGUUAGUGUUGGACUAGUAACCAGCAGGUAGCCUAGUGGUUAGUGUUGGACUAGUAACCAGCAGGUAGCCUAGUGGUUAGUGUUGGACUAGUAACCAGCAGGUAGCCUAGUGGUUAGAGCGUUGGACUAGUAACCAGCAGGUAGCCUAGUGGUUAGUGUUGGACUAGUAACCAGCAGGUAGCCUAGUGGUUAGAGCGUUGGACUAGUAACCAGCAGGUAGCCUAGUGGUUAGAGUGUUGGACUAGUAACCAGCAGUUAGCCUAGUGGUUAGUGUUGGACUAGUAACCAGCAGGUAGCCUA
Oncorhynchus keta (chum salmon) is the source of this 3488-nucleotide long non-coding RNA. RefSeq lists it as uncharacterized. The record is from RefSeq and is a predicted model, not a curated record. Lineage: Eukaryota; Metazoa; Chordata; Actinopteri; Salmoniformes; Salmonidae. The transcript has 4 exons.